RNAcentral lists this transfer RNA (84 nucleotides) under Planotetraspora phitsanulokensis. RNAcentral's name for it is "tRNA-Sec". The record is from RNAcentral. Lineage: Bacteria; Bacillati; Actinomycetota; Actinomycetes; Streptosporangiales; Streptosporangiaceae.
CCGCGGCGUCGGGCAGCCCGACCGACUCGAGCGCCUUCAGGGCGUUCUCGUGGCGCUGGGCCCGGUUCAUGCCGCGGCGGCGGA